AGUGAACGCUGGCGGUAGGCCUAACACAUGCAAGUCGAACGGCAGCACAGUAAGAGCUUGCUCUUACGGGUGGCGAGUGGCGGACGGGUGAGGAAUACAUCGGAAUCUACUUUUUCGUGGGGGAUAACGUAGGGAAACUUACGCUAAUACCGCAUACGACCUACGGGUGAAAGCAGGGGAUCUUCGGACCUUGCGCGAUUGAAUGAGCCGAUGUCGGAUUAGCUAGUUGGCGGGGUAAAGGCCCACCAAGGCGACGAUCCGUAGCUGGUCUGAGAGGAUGAUCAGUCACACUGGAACUGAGACACGGUCCAGACUCCUACGGGAGGCAGCAGUGGGGAAUAUUGGACAAUGGGCGCAAGCCUGAUCCAGCCAUACCGCGUGGGUGAAGAAGGCCUUCGGGUUGUAAAGCCCUUUUGUUGGGAAAGAAAAGCAGCAGGUUAAUACCCCGCUGUUCUGACGGUACCCACAGAAUAAGCACCGGCUAACUUCGUG
RNAcentral lists this ribosomal RNA (492 nucleotides) under uncultured bacterium. RNAcentral describes it as "partial 16S ribosomal RNA". It matches the Rfam family "Bacterial small subunit ribosomal RNA", at positions 29 to 507 of the family's 1533-position model. The record is from RNAcentral.